UAAUAACGCAUGUGCACUCUGUAGGU
Molecule: unclassified non-coding RNA, 26 nt
Filed under: Mus musculus (house mouse)
Lineage: Eukaryota; Metazoa; Chordata; Mammalia; Rodentia; Muridae
Description: oocyte_clustered_small_RNA8865
Source: RNAcentral